RNAcentral lists this long non-coding RNA (238 nucleotides) under Mytilus galloprovincialis (Mediterranean mussel). The record is from RNAcentral. Lineage: Eukaryota; Metazoa; Mollusca; Bivalvia; Mytilida; Mytilidae.
GUCCGUCGUCCGUCGUCGUUAACUUUUACAAAAAUCUUCUCCUCUGAAACUACUGGGCCAAAUCAAACCAAACUUGGCCACAAUCAUCAUUGGGGUAUCUAGUUUAAAAAAUGUGUGGCGUGACCCGGUCAACCGACCAAGAUGGCCGCCACGGCUAAAAAUAGAACAUAGGGGUAAAAUGCAGUUUUUGGCUUAUAACUCAAAAACCAAAGCAUUUAGAGCAAAUCUGACAUGGGGG